This 636-nucleotide ribosomal RNA is filed under the name uncultured fungus. Its description in RNAcentral is "eukaryotic LSU rRNA". The stretch from base 229 to 382 matches the Rfam family "5.8S ribosomal RNA". The record is from RNAcentral. Lineage: Eukaryota; Fungi.
CAAGUCGUAACAAGGUUUCCGUAGGUGAACCUGCGGAAGGAUCAUUAAAGAGAGCUUCGGCUCCUUUUAUGUUUUCAACCAAAUUGCUGUUUCCAUCCUUGUUGCUUCCGCCCUUUGAAGGCGGGCCGUAAUUACAGCCUGCUCAAAGGGGGGUGGAGGGUUUGUUUUGAAAAUCUGUUUUGUCUAGUGCCGUGACUCGUCUGAAUAAGAGGAAAAAAAUGCUUUUAAAACUUUCAACAACGGAUCUCUUGGCUCCUGCAUCGAUGAAGAACGCAGCGAAAUGCGAUAACUAAUGUGAAUUGCAGAAUUCCGUGAAUCAUCGAGUCUUUGAACGCACAUUGCGCCCUAUGGUAUUCCGUAGGGCAUGCCCGUCUCAGCGUCAGUGAAAUCUCAUCAAGCUGUAGCAUUCUUUUUGCCAACGGCUUGGACAGUCUCAGGGAAGCUGCGGUUCGCUCACUGCGCUGCAGCUCCUUGGAAAUCCAUGGAUGCUUUACACCGUUGUGCGCGGGGAACGUGAUAGAAAAUUCUUCGUUCCUGCGACAUUGGUUUGAGAUAUCCGAAAAAAAACCCACAUGCCACUCUUGGGCAUUUUUUGGACUUGACCUGAGAUCGGGUAGGGAUACCCGCUGAACUUAA